AAAACGUAGUAACCAACCCUUUAGACUGGGAUAGCCACUGGAAACGGUGGGUAAUACCGGAUAAGCUCGAGAGAGGAAAGGCAGAGAAGCGCUAAAGGACGGAACUGCGCCCCAUCAGAUAGUUGGUGAGGUAAAGGCUUACCAAGUCAAAGACGGGAAACCGACGUGAGAGCGUGUACGGUCACAAGGGCACUGAGAGACGGGCCCUACUCCUACGGGAGGCAGCAGUGGGGAAUAUUGGACAAUGGACGAAAGUCUGAUCCAGCGACGCCGCGGGGAGGAAG
RNAcentral lists this ribosomal RNA (284 nucleotides) under uncultured bacterium. Its description in RNAcentral is "partial 16S ribosomal RNA". It matches the Rfam family "Bacterial small subunit ribosomal RNA", at positions 112 to 410 of the family's 1533-position model. The record is from RNAcentral.